CAGUCGCCACGGUAAUACGUAGGGUGCGAGCGUUAAUCGGAAUUACUGGGCGUAAAGCGUGCACAGGCGGUUGUGUAAGACAGGUGUGAAAUCCCCGGGCUUAACCUGGGAACUGCGCUUGUGACUGCACAGCUAGAGUAUGGCAGAGGGGGAUGGAAUUCCGCGUGUAGCAGUGAAAUGCGUAGAUAUGCGGAGGAACACCGAUGGCGAAGGCAAUCCCCUGGGCCUGCACUGACGCUCAUGCACGAAAGCGUGGGGAGCAAACAGGAUUAGAUACCCCUGUAGUCCCUGUCUCUUAUAC
RNAcentral lists this ribosomal RNA (301 nucleotides) under uncultured bacterium. RNAcentral's name for it is "partial 16S ribosomal RNA". It matches the Rfam family "Bacterial small subunit ribosomal RNA", at positions 509 to 807 of the family's 1533-position model. The record is from RNAcentral.